AUCGCNGCUUAUCAUGCAAGUCGAGGGGCAGCACGGGUAGCAAUACUGGGUGGCGACCGGCGCACGGGUUGCGUAACACGUAUGUAAUCUGCCCUUAACAGGGGGAUAGCCCGGAGAAAUCCGGAUUAAUACCCCAUAGUAAUAUGGAUCGGCAUCGAUUUAUAUUUAAAGCUCCGGCGGUUAAGGAUGGACAUGCGACUGAUUAGCUAGUUGGUGAGGUAAUGGCUCACCAAGGCGACGAUCAGUAGGGGUACUGAGAGGUUAAACCCCCACACUGGUACUGAGACACGGACCAGACUCCUACGGGAGGCAGCAGUAAGGAAUAUUGGACAAUGGAGGCAACUCUGAUCCAGCCAUGCCGCGUGCAGGAAGAAGGCGCUAUGCGUUGUAAACUGCUUUUGUACCAGAGAAAAUCACUGUACGUGUACGGUGUUGAUAGUAUGGUAAGAAUAAGCAUCGGCUAACUUCGUGCCAGCAGCCGCGGUAAUACGAAGGAUGCGAGCGUUAUCCGGAUUUAUUGGGUUUAAAGGGAGCGUAGGCGGUCUUAUAAGUCAGUGGUGAAACCUCGUUGCUUAACAACGACCGUGCCAUUGAUACUGUAGGACUUGAGUACAGUUGCCGUUGGCGGAAUGUGUCAUGUAGCGGUGAAAUGCCAUAGAUAUGACCACCAGAANCACCCCGAUUGCGAAGGCCAGCCUGACCGAAANCUGUAACUGACGCUGAAGCUCGAAAGCGUG
Molecule: ribosomal RNA, 737 nt
Filed under: uncultured bacterium
Lineage: Bacteria
Description: bacterial SSU rRNA
Rfam family: Bacterial small subunit ribosomal RNA
Source: RNAcentral